This 253-nucleotide ribosomal RNA is filed under the name uncultured bacterium. RNAcentral's name for it is "partial 16S ribosomal RNA". It matches the Rfam family "Bacterial small subunit ribosomal RNA", at positions 524 to 776 of the family's 1533-position model. The record is from RNAcentral.
UACAGAGGUCUCAAGCGUUGUUCGGAUUCAUUGGGCGUAAAGGGUGCGUAGGUGGCGCCGUAAGUCGGGUGUGAAAUCCUGGGGCUCAACCUCAGAAUUGCAUUCAAUACUGCUUAGCUAGAGAGCUGUAGAGGAGACUGGAAUUUACGGUGUAGCAGUGAAAUGCGUAGAUAUCGUAAGGAACGCCAGUGGCGAAAGCGAGUCUCUGGGCAGCAUCUGACACUGAGGUACGAAGGCCAGGGGAGCAAACGGG